This is a long non-coding RNA of Lathyrus oleraceus (garden pea), 3155 nucleotides long. RefSeq lists it as uncharacterized. NCBI's taxonomy places the organism in Eukaryota, Viridiplantae, Streptophyta, Magnoliopsida, Fabales, Fabaceae. The record is from RefSeq and is a predicted model, not a curated record. The transcript has 2 exons.
UAUUUUCAAUUUUAUUAUUCAUCGAUCGCAAUAUAAUAUCCGAAUUUCGAUUUUUGAUUUUCGAUUUUUUCUAAUUUGUUUGGGAAAUUUAUAUUAGUAUUUGAAGCUGGAACCGUUGGUUUGAUUCAGAGAAUGAAUAUAUGAAUGAAUUCACAUCUUUUGAUUUGAAUUGAAUUAAAUGAAACCCUAGGGAGUAUUACUGUUGGCUCUAUGAAGUGUUCUCUUUUCUAUUACCCUUAAAUGGACAUUACUUUACCAUAUUCUGUUUUACUGCUGUUUAGUUUAGUUGCAUUUGGACAUUGUUGAAAGUAAAUUGGUAAAUUUAUGUGUAGUAAAAGACAAUUUGUAUGAGAAAAAAGCUACUUUGAAAAUUUGAGAUUUCUUUUAUAUUUAGGUUUAGAUGAAGAUUGGGAUUCUCUUAGACUUAAACAAGCUAAAAAAUGUUUCUUUUAUCCUACAUUACGGUUUGUAAAGAUUAUUGUGAAUUAGGUUUGAGCUUCAACAUAUGGAUUGCGGUGCUAAUUAAAUCGGUUAUCUCUUUGAUACUUUUGAAUUGGAUAUGGAAGUUAGAAACUAACUUGCUUGGUUUAAAUCAAGAGGGUUUUUAAUGAAGUUGGUUUGUAGAGAUUAUAGAAUGGAUAUUCUAAUUUCCAGUUAGGUUUUAGUUGCCAAGUGUUAAUUGGAGUACCUUGAACCUAUGUCUUUGCUUCCGGGUGUUCAUUGUUUUGUUCUAUUGAUAUCUAAUCUGUACCCAGAUAAAAACCAAAAAAGAAAAUUGAAUUAAACCAAAUUUAUCGAAAUCAAUUACUCAAAAGUUAAAUCAGUUUUAAAACUGGUUAAGAUUCCAAAAACUGGUUAUGCAAAUAGCCAAAAAAUAAACCACGAGAAGAGAAUAGAAAAAUUAAUCUACGAGAGGACCAAAGGAGUUGUCACAGCUACUAGCUACUGCCACGUCGGCAUCUUUGUCACGCCUCUUUCAUGUAUUUGUCACUGGUAUUAUGCCCCAUUUUCCUCCCCGUCUUCAUGCAUGGCGUAUCCAUCAUUGCUGCCGUGGGAACCAGAACAACAGAAUCUGUACUGGUUAGUUUGGAUCUGCAUCUGUUCUUCCUUCACCUGUUUUAGUCUCUAUCCAGCAAACCACCACAUGUCCAUAGAUCUGCUCAUGAAUGGAGUCUGAGGGUGGAGUAGCUGCAUCUAAUGAGUAAGCUUAGAACAGCUCGCAAGCUUGAUGACCCUGGCGAGGAUCCACAUGUGUGCAAUCGAUGAGGCUGCGAGCUCGACGACAGUGAGCAACCAGAGAUGGAGGUGGUUGCACUUUUUUCAAUCUAUUUAAUCUUUCACUUUUUGUAUUCAGAAGAAAAUAAUAUGGAAAACAAAGUGCUAGAUCUUUUUUUGGAAGACAGAAAGCUAGAUCAGAAAAUAUUGGUAAGAGGGAACACUUUCAUCACGGUUUUUGGAACAAAAAGUGAAAUGGGAUGGGCCAGAAGCUAAUCCAACUGAUCUGAGUAUUCAUUUUUGUAACUGGUCUUACAGCAACAUAAUCCAACCCAUUUGAAAUGGGAUGUUAAAGCAUUAAUUGAAAAAAUCUGGUUUUGGAUAUGGUUGCGGGUGUAAUCAUAUGAACCGUUAUUUUGUGCACUGUUUAGAACGGGCUGAGUUGAUUGAGAAUUUGUCUGUAGGUUAUUUAGUGCAUGUUUGGAUGAGAGAUUGUCAAAUAUGAUUUCAAAUAAACUUGAUUUUUUAAAUUUUAUUGGGUUGAAACUGAAUUUGAGUGAAGUGGUUUGUGUAUGGAUAUUUUAUUCUAAAACAAAAUUUGAUGUAAAACUUGGUGUUUUUCAACGUAAUGCAAAUUAGAAAAUCUACUUUUAUUUAUCAUUUUUAGUCAAAUAGGUUUGGAGGCAAGGAAUUAGAGUAUUCCCUUGGACCCAAUAUGGUGGAUACCAAGUGGAGGGACAACAUGAAAUGUGACAUCAAAACUAGGAGUAGGUGCCUUGGAUGGAUUUGCAGAUGGGAAUACAUGCGAGGAAUAUUAGUAGGAUGAUGCUGUUGGAAUCCAUGAUAAUAAACAAAAACAUUAUAUCCACCUUUCAGACAAAUCAUGCUCUAGACAGUGCUUCUUCAACCAUGACCUUGGCCACCAUUGCGUCCUCCACAGCUAAAUUUGCCUCUACCAUCAGUAAAUUGGUUAUAAGGUGUAGAAUGGAGCCAUAGUAGGCGAAGGUGCAGAGAUUGACGUAGACGCGACCUUAAUGAGCAUGUUGACUGUCCUGUGGUUCUUCGCAAAACACACAAGUAGCAUCUCUGUCUCAUGAGCGGUCAACAACUCAAACUUAUUGCUGAUUAGCUAGACAAAGGCAUCAUCAUUUAGGAAGACAUUUGAGGAUGACGUUAAGGCGCUCCUUAACAGAGAUGGAGUCACGAUGGCUGUUAGUGCAUCAAUCAAGGUCUGAACACGAAGAAGAAAUUCAUACAUUGACUGAUUUUCAAAAGUCGGGUGACACAAUUCGGUACAAAAUUGUCAUUCCUUUGCGUUUGUGUGAGAAUGGGAGUAAUUGUGGAUUUGGUCCCUCUCUUACCAUGAAUUGGUGCUUCAAAUCACAUGUUUGAGCACAGAGCUUGAAAUUGUCGACUGAAGCCACAAAAUUUUCAAGGGGAUUAAAAUUACAUAUUGCAUUGUAUGGUCCCACAUGUUUGCCAUAAUUUUCAAGGGGAUUAAAAUUACAUAUCAUAUUGUAUGGUAGGGCCUGCAACAUUUCAAUGUGAUGUCUUGUUGUCAUACAGUGGAGAUUAUGGUUUUAUAUUUAGUCAUGUCAUGAUGAAAAGAUAUGGAAAAGAGAAGCGUUGUUAAUCUGUAAUUUGAAUACGGGUCCAUGUUUUGUGCAUUGUCCUGCCAAAUUUUGAGUGUUGGCAACUUGUGAAUAAGUUGUUUCAACCAUUGUAUUUGUUUGCAAAACCCUUGUCAUCGUGCAUCGCAAUACUUUCCAGCAUUGUAAAAUCAUCAUUUAUGUCUUCUUUCAUGCUAUGUUGUUUUACUUGUACCGUUUUAUUUUUGUAACUCAACCGAUUUCUUACAAAAAGAGAAACUGUAAAUUAUGGUCUGGUGUUGUCCAAGGCUUUGUUUGAAUUAUUGAUUGGUUUCUUCUUUGUUCCUUACA